GAUGAACGCUGACGGCGUGCCUAAUACAUGCAAGUCGAGCGAACGGACGAGAAGCUUGCUUCUCUGAUGUUAGCGGCGGACGGGUGAGUAACACGUGGAUAACCUACCUAUCAGACUGGGAUAAUUUCGGGAAACCGGAGCUAAUACCGGAUAAUAUUUUGAACCGCAUGGUUCAAUAGUGAAAGACGGUCUUGCUGUCACUUAUAGAUGGAUCCGCGCUGCAUUAGCUAGUUGGUAAGGUAACGGCUUACCAAGGCAACGAUGCAUAGCCGACCGGAGAGGGUGAUCGGCCACACUGGAACGGAGACACGGACCAGACUCCUGCGGGAGGCAGCAGUAGGGAAUCGUCCGCAAUGGUCGAAAGCCUUACGGAGCAACGCCGCGUGAGUGAUGAAGGUCUUCGGAUCGGAAAACUCUGUUAUUAGGGAAGAACAUAUGUGUAAUUAACUGUGCAGAGCUUGACGGUACCGAAUCAGAAAGCCACGGCUAACUACGUG
RNAcentral lists this ribosomal RNA (497 nucleotides) under uncultured bacterium. RNAcentral's name for it is "partial 16S ribosomal RNA". It matches the Rfam family "Bacterial small subunit ribosomal RNA", at positions 28 to 507 of the family's 1533-position model. The record is from RNAcentral.